RNAcentral lists this ribosomal RNA (253 nucleotides) under uncultured bacterium. Its description in RNAcentral is "partial 16S ribosomal RNA". It matches the Rfam family "Bacterial small subunit ribosomal RNA", at positions 524 to 776 of the family's 1533-position model. The record is from RNAcentral.
UACGUAGGGGGCAAGCGUUGUCCGGAUUUAUUGGGCGUAAAGAGCGUGUAGGCGGCCAUUCAGGUCAGCUGUGAAAACUCGAGGCUCAACCUCGAGACGUCGGUUGAAACCGUAUGGCUAGAGUCCGGAAGAGGAGAGUGGAAUUCCCGGUGUAGCGGUGAAAUGCGCAGAUAUCAGGAAGAACACCAAUGGCGAAAGCAGCUCUCUGGGACGGUACUGACGCUGAGGCGCGAAAGCGUGGGGAGCAAACAGG